Long non-coding RNA from Cavia porcellus (domestic guinea pig), 2046 nucleotides. RefSeq lists it as uncharacterized. The transcript is spliced from 5 exons. Lineage: Eukaryota; Metazoa; Chordata; Mammalia; Rodentia; Caviidae. The record is from RefSeq and is a predicted model, not a curated record.
CUCACUCCCUGACAUAUAUCACAUACGCGCACAGACAUACCACAGACACACCACGUGUGUCUACCACACACAGCACACACAGAUCAUCCCCAAACCACGCCCCAGCUACUACACUGUCUUCUCUAAGAGAAGGUCCGAGCCCCAGGGGCCACUCCUUGUGGUCCACUCCCAAGCCUGACGACCUGUCCCUCUCUCCCCACAUGUCCUCGCCUAAUGGGCCGUGGGAUGCCGUUUAACUUUUAACAAGUGCUUGUUAGAGCUUUGCUUGUGAAGGGAACAAGACCCCGUCACUGACUGCAGAGAGAGAGGGAGACCAAGACCACGGCCGCCCAGCUGGACUGGACUCCCCCACUGUAUGUGUCCUGCUCCAUGAACCAUGGGAGAGUAGGCCUGCAGCGUCUUUUCUUGGCCGCGUCCGGUGAGCUCUGCUUGAAGCCUGGCCUCCAGCUCUCCAGAAAGGCCGAAAUGAGAAUCACCUUGCUGGACACCAUCCUGGUGUCUUCAUAAAACUUCAGGGAUCGAACUCACGACUGCACACUUGCAAGGCAGGCACUUAUGCCGCUGAGCUAAAUCCCCGGCCCCAGGAAUUUUAAAAUGAAGAAUAGUCACUGAAACAAAAAAAGCAGUGGAGGGAAUAAGACGGAGAAGAGACACAUUCAAGAGGAUGCACGAGCUGGAAGCCGGUGUGGAGCUGGGGAGGGCAGCAGAGAAACUGAAGAGGCGGAAUGGGACCGAGCAAGGGGAAGCCACAGUGAGGGGACUGGGGGCUCCUUGUCCGCCUGGCAGGGUCCGAGGAGGACAGAACAGGACAGUGAGCAAAGGGAGAGACUCACUGGGGUUUUCCAGGACUGGAAGAAAACACAGCCCCCCUCAGCCGGAAGGGCACGCUGAGUAUGGAGCAGAAUAAGCAGAAAUAAAUCUGCUCCUGCAUAGAUCACAGCUCCCAGGGAACUGCCGCAGGCAGCUGUGGUGACAGCCGGGCCCUCGCUGGCACCGUCAGGAGGCGGAGACAUCAGAGGGUGACAGUCACCCUGCACUGCCCUCAGCACCAAACCCGCAGAUGGGUAUCAAAACAUGGAAAGAGCCAGUUUAACGUCGCUCUUCGGUACACAUAAGGGACUCUUUCAUUCCAAGUGCCUCAAGCACCCAUCAGCAGGGCUGCUGGGAGUGACCGGUCAUGGCUGUGUGCUACUGGAAGAGGAUGAACUUGUUGAAAAUGGCCCUGCUUCUUUAGAGAGGUGACACAGCUGGUUCUGGAGGAGGAGCAGAAGAGGGACUGUCACAUUUUGAUUUGGUACAACGGUCUGCCUGCCUUUGGCUUUGUUCGCUGGGGUUGCAGAUAUCUGUGGUUAGCUGCAGUGUGAGAGUCUUAAGUGGGAAUUCCUAGAAGUGAACAAGCCAUAAACGUUGCAUUGUGUCUUCUGACAACCGUGAUGGGGCUUCCUGCUGCUCUGCCCCUCCUGCCUGGGCUGAGGUCACGGAGGAGGACCCACCUCAUGUUUCCAGAGCCUGCCUUCCUGUUGGGUGGCACUGGGCAGCGGUGUCCACUGCGCUUUGCAUCGCAUCUCACAAACUUUUCAGAGAGUAGCAAGAAUGAUGGGAAAAAUGUGUUUGAAGGCUAUUUUAAGAGGGAUUAACAGCAAUAGGUCUUUCACGGAAAUAAAUUUAAAAAAAUUUAAAUAUUCACUGUAUAUGUCUAUCAGUCCUGGCGUAUUAUUAAAAUAGUUUCAUUUUAGUAUUUGUUACUGUUGUGGCUCUCUUCCUGUGCCUAUUUAUAAAUGAAAUUUUGCCAUAGGCAUGGAGGCAUGGGACAAGAUGUGGUGUGCAUGGGUUCAGGCUGUCCAAUGUAUUAUCUAAACCAUGGUAAAGUGCACCCAAGCAUUACUUGUAAGAUUAAAAAGGACAAAAAUGACUCCCCCGACCAGGGACCCAGCACCUUCUAAACUCUCGAUCAGAGGCCCGCGGUUCCUCCACUGGCUUAGUCCUUUUCCACGUCCUACGGAGCUCUCUGCCUCCUUCUGUAUAAUCUUCCUGGGAGUAAAGAUG